CAUUAUACCGUGAAACUGCGAAUGGCUCAUUAAAUCAGUUAUCGUUUAUUUGAUAGUACCUUACUACUUGGAUAACCGUGGUAAUUCUAGAGCUAAUACAUGCUAAAAACCCCAACUUCGGGAGGGGUGUAUUUAUUAGAUAAAAAACCAACGCCCUUCGGGGCUUCUUGGUGAUUCAUGAUAACUUUACGGAUCGCAUGGCCUUGCGCCGGCGACGGUUCAUUCAAAUUUCUGCCCUAUCAACUUUCGAUGGUAAGGUAUUGGCUUACCAUGGUUUCAACGGGUAACGGGGAAUUAGGGUUCGAUUCCGGAGAGGGAGCCUGAGAAACGGCUACCACAUCCAAGGAAGGCAGCAGGCGCGCAAAUUACCCAAUCCCGACACGGGGAGGUAGUGACAAUAAAUACUGAUACAGGGCUCUUUUGGGUCUUGUAAUUGGAAUGAGUACAAUUUAAACCUCUUAACGAGGAACAAUUGGAGGGCAAGUCUGGUGCCAGCAGCCGCGGUAAUUCCAGCUCCAAUAGCGUAUAUUAAAGUUGUUGCAGUUAAAAAGCUCGUAGUUGAAACUUGGGUCUGGCUGGCAGGUCCGCCUCACCGCGUGUACUUGUCCGGCCGGGCCUUCCUUCUGGAGAACCUCAUGCCCUUCACUGGGCGUGUUGGGGACCAGGACUUUUACUUUGAAAAAAUUAGAGUGUUCAAAGCAGGCCUUUGCUCGAAUACGUUAGCAUGGAAUAAUAGAAUAGGACGUGCGGUCCUAUUUUGUUGGUUUCUAGGACCGCCGUAAUGAUUAAUAGGGACAGUCGGGGGCAUCAGUAUUCAAUUGUCAGAGGUGAAAUUCUUGGAUUUAUUGAAGACUAACUACUGCGAAAGCAUUUGCCAAGGAUGUUUUCAUUAAUCAGUGAACGAAAGUUAGGGGAUCGAAGACGAUCAGAUACCGUCGUAGUCUUAACCGUAAACUAUGCCGACUAGGGAUCGGGCGAUGUUCUUUUUCUGACUCGCUCGGCACCUUACGAGAAAUCAAAGUUUUUGGG
RNAcentral lists this ribosomal RNA (1029 nucleotides) under Allophaeosphaeria muriformia. Its description in RNAcentral is "SSU rRNA". It matches the Rfam family "Eukaryotic small subunit ribosomal RNA", at positions 72 to 1111 of the family's 1831-position model. The record is from RNAcentral. Lineage: Eukaryota; Fungi; Ascomycota; Dothideomycetes; Pleosporales; Phaeosphaeriaceae.